GAUGAAGAACGUAGCGAAAUGCGAUAAGUAAUGUGAAUUGCAGAAUUUAGUGAAUCAUCGAAUGUUUGAACGCACAUUGCGCCCGCCAGUAUUCUGGCGGGCAUGCCUGUCUGAGCGUCAUUUCAACCCUCAUGCCCCUAGGGCGUGGUGUUGGGGAUCGGCCAAAGCCCGCGAGGGACGGCCGGCCCCUAAAUCUAGUGGCGGACCCGUCGUGGCCUCCUCUGCGAAGUAGUGAUAUUCCGCAUCGGAGAGCGAUGAGCCCCUGCCGUUAAACCCCCAACUUUCCAAGGUUGACCUCAGAUCAGGUAGGAAUACCCGCUGAACUUAAGCAUAUCAAUAAGCGGAGGA
RNAcentral lists this unclassified non-coding RNA (348 nucleotides) under soil metagenome. RNAcentral describes it as "partial contains 5.8S ribosomal RNA, internal transcribed spacer 2, and large subunit ribosomal RNA". The stretch from base 1 to 120 matches the Rfam family "5.8S ribosomal RNA", at positions 35 to 154 of the family's 154-position model. The record is from RNAcentral.